GGCUCGUUGGUUAAGGGAUAUGAUUCUCGCUUAGGGUGCGAGAGGAUCCGGGCACAACUCCUGGACGAGCCC
Gymnothorax javanicus (giant moray) is the source of this 72-nucleotide non-coding RNA. The record is from the annotation of a GenBank genome assembly. NCBI's taxonomy places the organism in Eukaryota, Metazoa, Chordata, Actinopteri, Anguilliformes, Muraenidae.